Molecule: long non-coding RNA, 1711 nt
Organism: Pyrus x bretschneideri (Chinese white pear)
Lineage: Eukaryota; Viridiplantae; Streptophyta; Magnoliopsida; Rosales; Rosaceae
Exons: 3
Source: RefSeq, a predicted model, not a curated record
AAGUCAGUCCAGUUUAGUCCCUGAAACUAAUCCAGUCCGGUACAACAAAUGAACCCUCAGCUUCCUUUUCAGAAUUCUUUUAUUAUCCUUUUCCCAAUGUUAAUAUUUUACUCCAUGAUAGAAGUUUUAGGGUCUGUGAUUUCAUUUUUGUUGAUGAAUGUGCAUUAAUAGCUUUUAGAUUUAUUUUUAUUUAAAUUUAGAUCCUACAAGUUCAAGGCAUUGAUGAUAGAAUUAAAUUCAGCGCUGCUUAUUGUUCCUUGGCCUCAUAUGAAAGUCCACAGCUUUAAAUGUGGGAGCAUGCUAUUGAGUAAUACAUUGCCACCAGUUUAGGUGUUAACAAUAAAGAGUGCAGAAGCGAUGCAGCAUGAAAUUCUGAUGCAUGUUAACACCAUUAUCUUUAAAUGCGGUUUUUUAACGGAUUCCACUUUUAAUUUUUCGCUGCUCUUUUUUCGCAGAAGUUUCUCUACUUACAUAAAUGCUUUACGAAUUUUAGUUUUUAUCAUCUGAUUGUUUUUUGCAGAGGUUGUAGUAAUUUUGUUUUAACUGGAAAUUUGGGGGUUUCUUCAUUGUUAUCAAAUUCGAUUUUUCUAAUUUACUGAUUUUGGGGUUUUCCAGGGAGUGGAACUUUGGUCUUUGAAGGAUUUUUGGGCUUUAAAAGGGUAUGUGUUGUUUUUAAUGUUUCGGUUCUUGCGUGUUCCUUUCUUUGAUUUUUGUUGUCUAUCUGCUUUUGCGUUACUUCAUGAUUCAUUUUUCAGUGUUGGGUGAUGGGAUCUAGGAUUUUUAAUAAAUUUUCUAUGUCAUUCCAAUUGAAAGACUGAAAAAUGAUUGAAAUUAUGUUCUUUGUCUUUUUCAAAUUUCUCUCAAGUUUUUUUUGGGAUAUAAAAGUAUCUUUUCCCGAUUGGUUAUAAUGGUUAUUCAUCUCUCCAAUUGGUUCCUUUUUAUUCUAACAAACCUUUUUGUCUAAUUUAUUUUUUUUUUCAUUUUUUUUUAUGACUUACUACAGAAGGUAGAUUCGGCUUUUCAUAUAACAUGGAUGAUCAGUACAAGAAACUCAUCUGAAGAAUGAAUCCAAAAAGGUAUAUGCAAAUAUCCUACUUUGGGUUCAUAUAGAAACUCAAUGGUUGAUGUCACUUCCGAAAAGCUGAGAUCAGCAUAUGGCAUAUUACAACAAUAUAUUUUUCACAAGCAGAUACUAAAACUAUACACAUAACAUUAGGCAAGUUUCAACCUUUUUUGCUUCCAUUUUAGGGUUUUUCUAAUUAAUAUUUUGUGCCGAAAUUUGAUUGAACCUUAUUUGGGGUGUUUGAUUUUAGGAUUUCUCAAGUCAAAUUGCCGCUUGGGUGAUCAGAAAAAAAAAUGGACUUGGUCUAUGAUUACAAGGUGACUUCACCUCUCUCGAUUUUAGGAUUUCUCAAGUCAAAUUGCCGCUUGGGUGAUCAGAAAAAAAAAUGGACUUGGUCUAUGAUUACAAGCAUGGAAAGCUGUGCAAGGCACUUUUCUGCAAUUUAUUGCAAAAUAAUGUCAAUUUUCCCUUCUUUGGGUACCAGCUCAAGCUAGGAGAAAGUUUAGCAUCCAAACUUUACGUUCCUUGCAUGUAGCACUUGAAAAGGCUAAGAAUGUAAUACGCUUUAUUUGGCAGGUAUUCCCUCAAUUUUACAUUUGUAAUUGAUGCAGUUAUCGUUACUCCCAACUUUUUAAGCAAACAUUUAUU